Molecule: long non-coding RNA, 741 nt
Organism: Quercus lobata
Lineage: Eukaryota; Viridiplantae; Streptophyta; Magnoliopsida; Fagales; Fagaceae
Exons: 3
Source: RefSeq, a predicted model, not a curated record
GGGGGGGGGGGGGCAGAUUUUUUAGUUCCCAUGUGCCUCCCAACUACCCCACCUAACCUCCUUCCCCACCACUCAUUUCACUCAUCUUAUCUCCUCUUUGGCUAGCUCACUUACUUCAUUUUUUUGCUUUCUUUUUUCAUUUCCUCUCAACACAACACAAACAUUUCUCUCAUACUCCCUCAUCCUCUCCCAUGGUACCCACUCCAAAUCAACAUCUCCACCAUCAUUUUUCCAACAAGAUCACCGGAAAAUUGUUUAGAACCCAUAAGCACCUUCACAUCCUUUUUUGGAGGUUCUAGCUAAUCUCCUUGGAGCUUGAAGAAGUAGGCUUUUGCGGUUGCGAGUGAUCACCCAAUUUGGUUUCGUAGUCUUUGUGACAACAGAAUCAAAUCCAGGUCAGUGCCCUUUCACUUUGGAUGAUAUGUUCUUCCCUACUGCCCAUGGGGAAAAGAGGUUCCUUGAUUGUGUAUGGGUGAGGUUGCUGCCCAUGGGGCCAAGACCACAUGCAAGAAAAGUCCUAUUUAACACGCUCUCUCUGCUGCCCAUGGUGGGAGAGAAAAACCUUGAGAGUAUGGGUGAGGCUGCUGUCUAUGGGGCCAAGAUUCUGCAUACUAGAGAGGACAAUAUCAUGCCAGUUGUGAAUGGGUGGAUCCCCUAACUGGUCUAUAUGGUAGUAUGGUAUAUUUGUGAUAAUUUAUCUUAUGUCAGAUAUUAAGGCUUUGGAAAUUAUAUUAUUGAUGC